Non-coding RNA from Xyrichtys novacula (pearly razorfish), 205 nucleotides. NCBI's taxonomy places the organism in Eukaryota, Metazoa, Chordata, Actinopteri, Labriformes, Labridae. The record is from the annotation of a GenBank genome assembly.
GUUGUUGUUGUUACUGGUGUUGUGCCGAGAAACGCACGUCCGCCGAGAAUUGCAUGCACCGCUUGUAGUAGAGUGGUCCACGAAAAUGUAUAAUUUAAAAUCCAUUCAGUUCUUAUUUGUGGGACUAAACAGUGAUGAGUAAUGUUCCCAAAGUAAUUCUCGGUGGGUAUGCGUUUCUCGGCAUAACACCGGUAGUGCCAGCGAC